UGCAGCGUAGGAAGACAUGCCUGGACGUGGGAAAGCUGCCAAGGACUGGUGAAGGAAGUUGCCGAACAUGAACGAAAGGGAUUUUCCUGCACAUAUGACAAGUAAUGUGUACGGAUUGUGACAGUGGUCCUCGUGGAAGGCGUCUUGGUGCCUCCUCUCGUGGGUUUCCUUGGAAGUCUUCAUCAGCUUCUUCAGAAGACAUUCCUUAACUUCAUGUUUAGAUGUCUUCAUGGACAUGGGACCUUUCCCAGACAUUUGACAAGCAAUGUCUGGACGUGCUAAGGGAAAGGUGGGCAGAGGAGGUGCCAGGCGUCACAGUCACGAAUGCGCUUCACAACAUCCGGAGAAACAGUGGUCCUCGCGGAAGGCGUCUUGAUGCCUCCUCUCGUUGUGUGUUACCUUGGAAGUCUUCAGCAGCUUCUACAGAAGAAAUUUCCUUGACUUCAUGGACAUGGGACCUUUCCCAGACAUUUGACAAGCAAUGUCUGGACGUGCUAAGGGAAAGGUGGGCAGAGGAGGUGCCAGGCGUCACAGUCACGAAUGCGCUUCACAACAUCCGGAGAAACAGUGGUCCUCGCGGAAGGCGUCUUGAUGCCUCCUCUCGUUGUGGGUUUCCUUGGAAGUCUUCAUCAGCUUCUUCAGAAGACAUUCCUUGACUUCAUGUUUAGAUGUCUUGAUGGACAUGGGACCUUUCCCGGACAUUUGCAAGUUGAAACAAGUUGGGAAGGAGAGUCAUCUCUCAGCAGCUUCCAGGAUCUUAUUGAUGCCAUCAAGCCCGGAUCAACUACGGCCACAAUGUUCAUGGUGGGACCUAUCCCGGUGAGAGGGUGUCCGAUGCUGAUCUCCACGGUGACGUCCAGAACGAUCGGUGCUCGUGUGUACGCCUUGCAAGAGGACAGGGAAUUGUUCUAAUGUGUCUUGGAAUGCGUUAGAUGGCAACAUGCUGCAGAUAUGGUCGCACUAACGUGCCAUUAGCCAUGAUAGAAAGUAAAUGAGUUGUGAGAUUGCAAUCAUUGCUUUAACCGACCGAACGAUACCCUCUGUACGUCCUGAGGGUAUUGUUGGAAGGACUGAUCACAACUUCUUGGUUGGUGUUAAGGUGCUUGAGUGGGUUUUGUUGACAUGCUGAGUUUUGUAGCCAGUAGGUGGUCAGGACAUUUUGUGAAUGGAGGCUCCUUUUGCACCUGUUUUAUGUUUUAUAUUUCUGUUUUAUGUCGUGGUCAGUGGUAGUCGGGAACCUUUCUAGUGUGGUUUUGAAAUGUUUAUACUUUGCAUUCAUCAAUUUUGCCAAUAA
Branchiostoma floridae (Florida lancelet) is the source of this 1294-nucleotide long non-coding RNA. RefSeq lists it as uncharacterized. NCBI's taxonomy places the organism in Eukaryota, Metazoa, Chordata, Leptocardii, Amphioxiformes, Branchiostomatidae. The record is from RefSeq and is a predicted model, not a curated record. The transcript has 5 exons.